RNAcentral lists this ribosomal RNA (500 nucleotides) under uncultured bacterium. RNAcentral's name for it is "partial 16S ribosomal RNA". It matches the Rfam family "Bacterial small subunit ribosomal RNA", at positions 30 to 523 of the family's 1533-position model. The record is from RNAcentral.
AUUGAACGCUGGCGGAAUGCUUUACGCAUGCAAGUCGAACGGCAGCACGGACUUCGGUCUGGUGGCGAGUGGCGAACGGGUGAGUAAUGUAUCGGAACGUGCCCAGUCGUGGGGGAUAACGUAGUGAAAAUUACGCUAAUACCGCAUACGAUCUAUGGAUGAAAGCGGGGGAUCGCAAGACCUCGCGCGAUUGGAGCGGCCGAUAUCAGAUUAGGUAGUUGGUGGGGUAAAGGCCCACCAAGCCAACGAUCUGUAGCUGGUCUGAGAGGACGACCAGCCAAACGGGAACUGAGACACGGUCCAGACUCCUACGGGAGGCAGCAGUGGGGAAUUUUGGACAAUGGGCGAAAGCCUGAUCCAGCCAUUCCGCGUGCAGGAUGAAGGCCCUCGGGUUGUAAACUGCUUUUGUACAGAACGAGAAGGUUUCUACUAAUACUAGGAGCUCAUGACGGUACUGUAAGAAUAAGCACCGGCUAACUACGUGCCAGCAGCCGCCGCGG